RNAcentral lists this long non-coding RNA (549 nucleotides) under Homo sapiens (human). RNAcentral describes it as "HSALNT0191180". The record is from RNAcentral. Lineage: Eukaryota; Metazoa; Chordata; Mammalia; Primates; Hominidae.
GCCCACCCUCAAAGACUGGUUCUCGAACACUAAGCCCAGCCAUUUCUCACUAGAUAGAAAACUUAAACCACCAAAGGAGAGUUCUGCGUGACCAAAAUUAUGUUUUGUAGUCAACUUUUUCAAGUGGAGGAAAUUACCAAAGAGAAACACAUACCAAAAGUUAAUUUAACAAGAAUUCCAGACUCAGAGGACAAAAAUGAGAUUGAAGGAGGGCUCAAUAUUCUGUUUCCUGAGAAUAUUCAUUAAGCAAUUGCUAGGUUUUGUUGCUGAACAGUGUAAUUUUUCAUUCUAGUUAAUUUCCUUUGAGAAGUUCUGAAAUACUAGGACCUUACUUGUUCUCACUGGCCAUAGAAUUACAUGUUAAGCAAAGCCCAAGAUUUAGUAACGUACAAAUCAUUCUGGCUUCCCGCUACUGUGAGAAACUACACUCAGCAGUUGCCCAAGCCCAGAAUCUGGUACUCUGCAUGACAAAUCAGCAAAUAAACCUGCCACCUGGAAUCUGAGCUUUGGAACUACUACUAUAAACAGCCAUAUACACAUCAUAACCCA